UCGAGGGGCAGCAUGGUCUUAGCUUGCUAAGGCUGAUGGCGACCGGCGCACGGGUGAGUAACACGUAUCCAACCUGCCGUCUACUCUUGGCCAGCCUUCUGAAAGGAAGAUUAAUCCAGGAUGGCAUCAUGAGUUCACAUGUCCGCAUGAUUAAAGGUAUUUUCCGGUAGACGAUGGGGAUGCGUUCCAUUAGAUAGUAGGCGGGGUAACGGCCCACCUAGUCAACGAUGGAUAGGGGUUCUGAGAGGAAGGUCCCCCACAUUGGAACUGAGACACGGUCCAAACUCCUACGGGAGGCAGCAGUGAGGAAUAUUGGUCAAUGGGCGAUGGCCUGAACCAGCCAAGUAGCGUGAAGGAUGACUGCCCUAUGGGUUGUAAACUUCUUUUAUAAAGGAAUAAAGUCGGGUAUGCAUACCCGUUUGCAUGUACUUUAUGAAUAAGGAUCGGCUAACUCCGUGCCAGCAGCCGCGGUAAUACGGAGGAUCCGAGCGUUAUCCGGAUUUAUUGGGUUUAAAGGGAGCGUAGAUGGAUGUUUAAGUCAGUUGUGAAAGUUUGCGGCUCAACCGUAAAAUUGCAGUUGAUACUGGAUGUCUUGAGUGCAGUUGAGGCAGGCGGAAUUCGUGGUGUAGCGGUGAAAUGCUUAGAUAUCACGAAGAACUCCGAUUGCGAAGGCAGCCUGCUAAGCUGCAACUGA
Molecule: ribosomal RNA, 694 nt
Filed under: uncultured Bacteroidales bacterium
Lineage: Bacteria; Pseudomonadati; Bacteroidota; Bacteroidia; Bacteroidales
Description: bacterial SSU rRNA
Rfam family: Bacterial small subunit ribosomal RNA
Source: RNAcentral